GAGGAAGCCCGGUGAGAAUCCGGCGCGGUCCCGCCACUGUGAACCCGGCAGCUGCCGGGCGAGCCAGGAACUC
RNAcentral lists this non-coding RNA (73 nucleotides) under Streptomyces sp. The record is from RNAcentral. Lineage: Bacteria; Bacillati; Actinomycetota; Actinomycetes; Kitasatosporales; Streptomycetaceae.